CGCGUGGGUAACCUACCCUGUACACACGGAUAACAUACCGAAAGGUAUGCUAAUACGGGAUAAUAUAUUUGAGAGGCAUCUCUUAAAUAUCAAAGGUGAGCCAGUACAGGAUGGACCCGCGUCUGAUUAGCUAGUUGGUAAGGUAACGGCUUACCAAGGCGACGAUCAGUAGCCGACCUGAGAGGGUGAUCGGCCACAUUGGAACUGAGACACGGUCCAAACUCCUACGGGAGGCAGCAGUGGGGAAUAUUGCACAAUGGGCGAAAGCCUGAUGCAGCAACGCCGCGUGAGUGAUGAAGGCCUUCGGGUCGUAAAACUCUGUCCUCAAGGAAGAUAAUGACGGUACUUGAGGAGGAAGCCCCGGCUAACUACGUGCCAGCAGCCGCGGUAAUACGUAGGGGGCUAGCGUUAUCCGGAUUUACUGGGCGUAAAGGGUGCGUAGGCGGUCUUUCAAGUCAGGAGUGAAAGGCUACGGCUCAACCGUAGUAAGCUCUUGAAACUGGGAGACUUGAGUGCAGGAGAGGAGAGUGGAAUUCCUAGUGUAGCGGUGAAAUGCGUAGAUAUUAGGAGGAACACCAGUUGCGAAGGCGGCUCUCUGGACUGUAACUGACGCUGAGGCACGAAAGCGUGGGGAGCAAACAGGAUUAGAUACCCUGGUAGUCCACGCUGUAAACGAUGAGUACUAGGUGUCGGGGGUUACCCCCCUUCGGUGCCGCAGCUAACGCAUUAAGUA
RNAcentral lists this ribosomal RNA (733 nucleotides) under uncultured bacterium. Its description in RNAcentral is "bacterial SSU rRNA". It matches the Rfam family "Bacterial small subunit ribosomal RNA", at positions 114 to 866 of the family's 1533-position model. The record is from RNAcentral.